This 446-nucleotide ribosomal RNA is filed under the name uncultured bacterium. RNAcentral's name for it is "bacterial SSU rRNA". It matches the Rfam family "Bacterial small subunit ribosomal RNA", at positions 28 to 483 of the family's 1533-position model. The record is from RNAcentral.
GACGAACGCUGGCGGCGCGCCUAACACAUGCAAGUCGAACGGAGCUGAGAGGAGCUUGCUUUUUCUCAGCUUAGUGGCGAACGGGUGAGUAACGCGUGAGUAACCUGCCCUGGAGUGGGGGACAACAGUUGGAAACGACUGCUAAUACCGCAUAAGCCCACGGAUCCGCAUGGAUCUGCGGGAAAAGGAUUUAUUCGCUUCAGGAUGGACUCGCGUCCAAUUAGCUAGUUGGUGAGGUAACGGCCCACCAAGGCGACGAUUGGUAGCCGGACUGAGAGGUUGGAACGGCCACAUUGGGACUGAGACACGGCCCAGACUCCUACGGGAGGCAGCAGUGGGGGAUAUUGCACAAUGGGGGAAACCCUGAUGCAGCGACGCCGCGUGGAGGAAGAAGGUUUUCGGAUUGUAAACUCCUGUCGUUAGGGACGAUAAUGACGGUACCUAAC